RNAcentral lists this non-coding RNA (103 nucleotides) under uncultured Prevotella sp. Lineage: Bacteria; Pseudomonadati; Bacteroidota; Bacteroidia; Bacteroidales; Prevotellaceae. The record is from RNAcentral.
CUAAGGGGUGCUCCGUCGCCGUGCCUUCAUGAGGCUGGCUAUUGGCGGGGCUGAGAACAGACCCAGAACCUGAUCCGGAUAAUGCCGGCGUAGGGAAACAAAG